CGCCAUUCCCCAUUCUUCUGGUCGCCAAGUCCCCCUCUCUCCACCUCGUCAGGCCGCACCUCCCCAUCGUCCCUGCCGCCGACGCGAGGUUCGCCCGGCCCUUCUCAUCGAAUCUGGUCGCCUCCCUGCCCGAGGUGGCGCUCGAGCUCCGCAUGCUCGCGGCCGACCCUGCGCAAGGCACCGUCUGAGGCGGACGCGGAGGCGCGGUAUUCAUCUCCAACGGAUCCGCGGCCGCGGCCAUCCCGCGCCGGCGUUGCUCGAGCACGGAGCGGGCACUGUCACCUCACCAGCGGUUCGGGCGCUUCGCUUUCGCCCGCGAGCUGCCCCGAGAUGCGUGUCGGGCCGCGGAGAGGGAGGAGUCGGAGAAGUAGGCGCUGGUAUGGGAGGAAACAGAGAGGAGGCGGAAUGGGAAGUAGAUGGGGCUGGCGGUGGGGAUCACCGCGGGCGUCGCGCUCAUCGUUGCCUUCGCCCGCUGCGAGAACUCCCGCUCCAAGCGCAGGCGCAGCUGGGAGGUUCAAGCUAGCUGAGAUUUCAGCCACGUUUUGGUGGAUUUCUUGCAGCAACUUCAGAGAAUCUUGUGUCUAUACUAGAUGUGGAAACACAGGCUUUUGUGAGGAUAUUUGAGGUUUAUAUUGGAUGGCUCUAACAUCUAUAUUUGUACAUCACAACUGGAUGCAAAUCUCUCGGUAUCUAUUUCUUUGUUUAAUUGUUUAGUCAACUUUUUGGGAUUUCCAAUUAAACAAUUGAUAUGCACAAGUAGAUGCGAUUCUGAAAAGAACAUGGGUCUAAAGUGAUGAUCAAUUUAUAUUUACUCAAAGGCACUUAUGCACACAUAUAUCCAGCUUCUUUACUUCGUGGUUUUUAACAUGUUUAAUCAUGCGCUGCAGUCCGGCUCACGCCCCUCAUCUUUGGGGAAUUAGCUGGAUCCAAAUGUGAUGGACAGCGAGUCGCCUCCGCCGGCCUCCUCCCCCAAGACUACGGGCGACGCUGAAGUGUUGUCCCGAAGGACCCUCCCCUUCCAGGGAGAGGUACAGGAGGCCGUCCAGGUGGCGCCAGAGGGUGAGACCUCGGCCGUCGGACACAUGGGGGACAGAUCCCCCUGGAAACUGGCGAUGGGGGACAUACCCAAUUCGGCCCCCAGCCGAAAACUAUUCCGGAGGCCCAUACCGCUCCGGAAUCAGGUAAGCAGCCUCCUUUGAAAGAGGGUGGUGCACCUAUUCUGCCGCUGACCUCUGUCCACCCAGAGGCACCGGAUACUUUACUGGAAGCGCUUCAAGGUGCUUCCAUUGUGGAAGAACACCGUAUCCUUAUGGGUACGGUGGUUGAGAAGGUUCAGUCCGCUAAGAGCGGACUGACCGAAGCCUGUGUCAGCCUUCUAACAGGCUUUGAGGCGUCGAUGUUGGCUGCGACCUCCAUUCUGACGAAGUCUCCAAAUUGAAGCAGAGGCUGGAGCAGGUCGAGCAAGGAGCUGCGGCCGAGGUGGAGUCCCUCAAGAACGCGCUGGCCGAGUCCUAGAAGAAAGCGGAGAAGGAACAAGCCGCCCGCAAAAAACACGAGUCAAGGGUCAGGGAGGUGUAGCAGGAGCUCAAGGACGCCGUAGAGAAAUGCGAGUCCUUGGAGCGCAAGAUUGUAGACCAAGAGUCCGAACUUGCUAAGGCCCGCCAAAGUGCGCAAGAGGCCCGGGUUGAAACCCAGGGCGCCCUCCGGGAAAUCCAAGAGGCCAAGCAAAUUGAGGCGGGAACGUUUGCGGAUCUGCCUCACCGUGUUGCUGAUGUUGCGGAGUUCUUCCGAGCCGAAGAGGGGAGCUCAACGGAGAAGCUGUUCUGGUCGCAAUACCUUGCGCCAGAGCAUCCGGUUUCCCUCAGCGAUCAGCUGAAACAGCUGACUGAACUGCAUAGGGUGGCCGGAUUGGCCAUGAAGGAUUUGAUAAUCCAUCUAUGGUAUGCCGAAGCCAUGCCUAGCAGCCACUUCGGGCUCGUGAAGCGGUUGGUCGAUGCCUGCCCUAGGCUUGAUGCCAUAAAGCGGUCGGUCCAUCGAGGGUGCGCGGAUGGCCUUCGCCCGUGUUAAGGUGCAGUGGGCGAAGAUGAACGACGUCAAGCUCGCGACCGA
This is a non-coding RNA of Aegilops tauschii subsp. strangulata, 2109 nucleotides long. NCBI's taxonomy places the organism in Eukaryota, Viridiplantae, Streptophyta, Magnoliopsida, Poales, Poaceae. The record is from RefSeq and is a predicted model, not a curated record.